Molecule: small nuclear RNA, 112 nt
Organism: Oryctolagus cuniculus (rabbit)
Lineage: Eukaryota; Metazoa; Chordata; Mammalia; Lagomorpha; Leporidae
Source: Ensembl
GUGCUCACUUCGGCAGCGCAUAUACUAAAAUUGAAAUGACACAGAGAAGAGUAAGUGGCCUGGCCCCUUGUGCAAGGAUGACAUGCAAAUUCGUGAAGCCUUCCACAUUUCU